This 305-nucleotide ribosomal RNA is filed under the name uncultured bacterium. Its description in RNAcentral is "bacterial SSU rRNA". It matches the Rfam family "Bacterial small subunit ribosomal RNA", at positions 333 to 637 of the family's 1533-position model. The record is from RNAcentral.
CGCUUCCUACGGGGGGCAGCAGUGAGGAAUAUUGGUCAAUGGGCGAGAGCCUGAACCAGCCAAGUCGCGUGAGGGAGUACUGCCCUAUGGGUUGUAAACCUCUUUUGUCGGGGAGCAAAAGCCGGACGUGUCCGUCUGUGAGAGUACCCGACGAAAAAGCAUCGGCUAACUCCGUGCCAGCAGCCGCGGUAAUACGGAGGAUGCGAGCGUUAUCCGGCUUUAUUGGGUUUACAGGGUGCGCAGGCGGAUUUUUAAGUCAGCGGUCACAUCUUGGGGCUCAACCUCAUCCAGCCGUUGAACCUGGG